UAGGGAAUCUUCCGCAAUGGACGCAAGUCUGACGGAGCAACGCCGCGUGAGUGAAGAAGGAUUUCGGUUCGUAAAACUCUGUUGUUAGAGAAGAACAGCGCAUAGAGUAACUGUUAUGCGUGUGACGGUAUCUAACCAAAAAGCCACGGCUAACUACGUGCCAGCAGCCGCGGUAAUACGUAGGUGGCAAGCGUUGUCCGGAUUUAUUGGGCGUAAAGCGAGCGCAGGCGGUCAAUUAAGUCUGAUGUGAAAGCCCCCGGCUCAACCGGGGAGGGUCAUUGGAAACUGGUUGACUUGAGUGCAGAAGAGGAGGGUGGAAUUCCAUGUGUAGCGGUGAAAUGCGUAGAUAUAUGGAGGAACACCAGUGGCGAAGGCGACUCUCUGGUAUGUAACUGACGCUGAGGCUCGAAAGCGUGGGGAGCGAACAGG
RNAcentral lists this ribosomal RNA (429 nucleotides) under Bacteroidota bacterium. Its description in RNAcentral is "Bacteroidetes bacterium partial 16S ribosomal RNA". It matches the Rfam family "Bacterial small subunit ribosomal RNA", at positions 355 to 776 of the family's 1533-position model. Lineage: Bacteria; Pseudomonadati; Bacteroidota. The record is from RNAcentral.